AUCACGUUUGCAUAUCAAUAUAAGAAACUACGGAAACUAAACUUGACUGCCGCUGCUGUCAGAAGAAACACGCAGAUAAUAGUCCUACUUCGACCAGCAAACAUGACGUUUACAAUUAGGCUUACUUAUGGGAUUUUUUGUUUGGUUGUCACGACAAUCGCUUCUGCAGCCUCAAACGAGACUUCAUCAGCUCUGACCUGCAACGUCACCGUGCAACCUGAUGGGUUGUGCGUCUACCAGCUGUCCCGGGUGCCCAAUUUGUCCAAUUCUGUGUCAUGGUGUGGGACAAGCUGGGAGCAACGGAACAGAACUGUCAUCGUUCACACCCACAAUGGUAAGGACCCUGUGUUCGACAUAAAUCUCGUCCAAAAUCUAACCGACUGGUCUGUCACCUUGAAACACUGCCACCCCUACCUGCGCUACAAAAUGGACUGCGAGACCGUGGAGGAAGCUGUCUGCACCGUCAACUGCAGCGCUGUCUUGGAUCUCAAGGACUUGGAUCCCCCAACCACUGUGAACGCCACGCUGAUCUGCUUCACUGAGAAUUUGUGUCUGUCCCUUCUGGCGCUAGGUCUGUGUGUCAGCAGUCUUCUUGUUCUUGGAGUCGCCGUCUUUGGGGGUUGGUACUUCUGGAAAACUGGAAAAUGCACAAGACGAGAAUCUGCGGAAAUGAGCGCUUCAUACACUCCUGCAAAAAACCAGAUUGUAUAA
RNAcentral lists this long non-coding RNA (711 nucleotides) under Sander lucioperca (pikeperch). Its description in RNAcentral is "lncRNA (ENSSLUG00000004508.1)". The record is from RNAcentral. Lineage: Eukaryota; Metazoa; Chordata; Actinopteri; Perciformes; Percidae.